RNAcentral lists this ribosomal RNA (487 nucleotides) under uncultured bacterium. RNAcentral's name for it is "bacterial SSU rRNA". It matches the Rfam family "Bacterial small subunit ribosomal RNA", at positions 29 to 506 of the family's 1533-position model. The record is from RNAcentral.
AGUGAACGCUGGCGGCAGGCCUAAUACAUGCAAGUCGAACGGCAGCACAGCAGAGCUUGCUCUGUGGGUGGCGAGUGGCGGACGGGUGAGGAAUACAUGGGAAUCUGCCCAGUCGUGGGGGAUAACGUAUGGAAACGUACGCUAAUACCGCAUGCGCCCUACGGGGGAAAGCCGGGGACCGCAAGGCCUGGCGCGAUUGGAUGAGCCCAUGUUCGAUUAGCUAGUUGGCGGGGUAAAGGCCCACCAAGGCGACGAUCGAUAGCUGGUCUGAGAGGAUGAUCAGCCACACUGGAACUGAGACACGGUCCAGACUCCUACGGGAGGCAGCAGUAGGGAAUAUUGGACAAUGGGGGCAACCCUGAUCCAGCCAUGCCGCGUGAGUGAAGAAGGCCCUCGGGUUGUAAAGCUCUUUUGUCCGGAAAGAAAAGCUCUGGUUAAUACCUGGGCCCAUGACGGUACCGUAAGAAUAAGCACCGGCUAACUACGU